CACCCGGGAGCUGCUCGGAUGAGGGUGCCGCCGCUGCCGCCCGAGGUGCGGGAGCGGGUCGCGGCCGAGUUCCGGCUCGGCCGGGUGC
RNAcentral lists this transfer RNA (88 nucleotides) under Actinoplanes sp. L3-i22. RNAcentral describes it as "tRNA-Gly". The record is from RNAcentral. Lineage: Bacteria; Bacillati; Actinomycetota; Actinomycetes; Micromonosporales; Micromonosporaceae.